This 401-nucleotide unclassified non-coding RNA is filed under the name Hevea brasiliensis (rubber tree). The record is from RNAcentral. Lineage: Eukaryota; Viridiplantae; Streptophyta; Magnoliopsida; Malpighiales; Euphorbiaceae.
GCCAUAAGACAUCUUCAUCAUUUUCAAUCAAUGAAAAAUCAAUUGCCGGAAAAAGAGGAGAGUAUUCACUAACACUUCUCCGCUUAUCACAUGGGUGAACUCCCAAAUGUUCUCGGCAAUUUUCGACGGCUAUGAAAGGUGGACAGUUCAAACUUGAAAUUGCAGAACGACCACUCUCCCCAACAUUCUUCACCAUUAGAGGAGUCACAGACACACCAUCCGUAUAGAUAUCACCACCAAAGACCCCAACAGCAGUUUGCAUAGUCCUUAGCAGAGGAGAGGUAAUGACUAAAUCAAUCUUCUUAGUGAGCCCAGAAGCAAACACAUGUUUCCGCAAAUUAUCAACCUGGGCCCAACCAAGAGGGGUAAGGUGAGCAUCAAAGAGUUCUGGAGACAUGUAA